Molecule: non-coding RNA, 157 nt
Filed under: Parahoeflea olei
Lineage: Bacteria; Pseudomonadati; Pseudomonadota; Alphaproteobacteria; Hyphomicrobiales; Rhizobiaceae
Description: Hoeflea olei 6S / SsrS RNA
Rfam family: 6S / SsrS RNA
About the family: E. coli 6S RNA was the first non coding RNA to be sequenced, but its function was unknown until recently. It consists of 184 nucleotides that fold into an extended hairpin structure with a large single-stranded internal bulge.
Source: Rfam by way of RNAcentral
UGCGAUCUGCGCCUCUCGACAGGAUACACAAUCCCCGGGGCCUUAAUUGAUCCCAAGGGAGCUGUCCCUGACCGGACCCGUGGGUCCGGACAUAUGGCGCCCACCUACGUUGUAGGUUCCCGGGAUCGAAACAUCCAUCGGUUGCCGUGGGUCGCGC